Equus caballus (horse) is the source of this 2773-nucleotide non-coding RNA. The record is from RefSeq and is a predicted model, not a curated record. Lineage: Eukaryota; Metazoa; Chordata; Mammalia; Perissodactyla; Equidae.
UGCCUCAAGGACACAAGCUUGAGAGCAAUGUGUUGUUGAGACCAUCUGGACAGUAUGAGUGAUUGAACACAGUUAAGGCCUCUAUAUAAACUUUAAGAUUCUGGUAAGCGGGCGCGGCUUUGUACUUGUCUGCAGCGCCCAAGACAAACUGCAUUAAGUAAGUUCCCUUGCUUCUUAAACCUGCCGCCUGCCAGUCUGGAGUGUCCUGCCUCUUUCUUCAGUCUCACCUUGCCCUCCCCCUUCAGGUGUCAGUUUCAGAUUUCACCCAGGAAACUCCCAAGUUUGCAAAUCAACAGCCUUUUACACUCGAAGAAAGAAAUCGGUGCUGGCCUUCCGGGUGCAGAGGCUACAAGACAAGUCCCAGAACAGGAAGCUGGCAGCCUUCACAGGGGUCUUUCCAGGAAACUGCAGCCUCUUCUGAGUCCCGACCAGCUCCUUGAGGAGGUCUCUGGCACCAGAGGGCAGUGGCCAGUGACGCAUCUUCCCUGAGGAAGGAACUGAGUCCCUUACUGAAAUGGGAUUGAAAUGGGGAAAGUGCCUACGCUUGCACCACAACGUGCCAGGUUCUGCACCAGGCAGUGUUGCAGGUGAACGAGACAGACAUGGUCUCCGAGCCCAUGGUGGUGACGUCCAGCGGGGGAAAACAGGGUCAGGAGGACAGCAGAAUGAUCAGCAUCCUGAGAAGAGUAUUUGCCCAUUCUGGAUCAGAGAGAGGCCCUGCAGCACGUGGACUGAGACCGUGUAGGCAGGCGGAGCUUCACAGUGCAGGAGCAGAGGCAAGGUCAUAUCCAGGGAGGUUUCACGACUGAAGAGGGAGGAGAGAACGAGCGAGGAGGUCACGAGGCCUUGGGAUCUGGGGAGGGGUGGGAUGUGGUGUGGCGGGGUCAGGCAGUUCUGAGGUUAUGAAGGAUCCACCCUUGACGGUUCUGGCUACAUGGCAUGGGGGGCGUGAGAGGGGUGCGUGGGAUUGCUCCCUUAAGGGGCUGAGCAGGUAGACAGGGCCCAGGACAAUGCCUUAAACAUGCUUGAAUCAUGCCUGCCCUUUGUAUGGUGCUUUUCAAUUUCCAAAGUACUUCCUCCUCAGCAUGCAAUAUGUUUGCUGCAUUAAACUGAAUAAAGCUGGGUUGGGGGGGGGUUCUCUGUUACAAGUUAUUCCUUGGAAGUUCACAGGUGUCCAUACACAUCACGAUAAUUUCAGAAAAAGUCACUGACUCUGAUGAGGUUUGGUACGCACCUCAACUUCAAUUUUUGGGGUAGCUUAUCAUCUUGGAAUGAAACAGCAGCAGGUACGUUCCUGUGGCUGCACUGGGACAAGGCUACAGUCCAGGCAACCACAGAGGAAUGUGCUAAGGCUGGCUUCCUCUUGGCAAGAAAUAGUGAGCAGGAUGGAGCCGAGAAUUACCUUUGAAAUAAGAGAGUGACAAGAACAUCUUGGCACAGGUAGUCAACAGAGGGACAAUCACUGCCACCAGUGACCUCUCUCAUCUCUAACUCCACCAGCCUUUCAUCUCGUUCUCUCUCUUGUGACAUGUUGAAGUGGAAAUUUCUUGUUUUGGGGCUACUCAGGUCCGUCCCUUCUUCUUUCGGUAACAGCACCCAGAAUUUCCUUUGGGUGAACCCUCCUCCCUCCCCCACAGGCCACAUCUGUGGGUGAGGAUGGCACCAUUGCUGGCUUUGGGGUGGAUCAUGGGACCACACCUGGCCAGUCAGACCACUGAGUCCCUCUAGCCACAGUGACUGGUUCAGGAAUGGGCACAUGACCAGGAUUUAGUGGGGGCUACAUGGAGGAGAGGCAUUCUCUUUCUGCUGCCUUGGACCUUGAUGACGUGAGGAUGGGAGACUCUAGAUGUUAGUAGCUACCUUGCCCCUGUGAGGGUAGAUGGAAUACUUAAAAGGGCUUAAGUGAAGAGAGGUUAACCUCAGGACUAUUUACAGAGGCCUGGGGGAGGAUGAAGGGAGCCGAGAGAGUGUAGUGAAGCACCCAGGGGCUAGCAACAGUGGGCAGCCUUGGUACCCUUAGUCCGAAGGAGCAAGGGGAGGGAACAGUGUUACCAGAGCUGGACAAGAGCUGGAGCCACAGAACAGGAAUGCAGCUGCUGCCAGUCUGACAAGGCAGAGAGGAAGUGGGGAUGGGCUGACCUUGACCUCACCCUCGUCAACGCUUCCAGUCUUGUGCUGGUACCUGCAUUGGCUGGACACAAUCAAAGCCAGAGUCAAACGCAGGUCAGCCCCCAAGAUGCAGCGCAUGGAAGAGAAGGGGAGAGAAUGGGGGAAGGUAAAAGGAGAAAACCAGCACCAAGAUGCUCUUGCUGUCCUAUUAGAUUUGUCAGUUAAGAGAGCCAGUAAUCCUCCUUGUUGCUUUGGCUGGUUUGGGUGUCUGCUCUAUCCUUUGUCCUGCAGGAGUCCUACGUGGAACAUAAACUCACUAGCUCACUCUUAUUGUAGUUACCGGGUAUGUCUCAACUCCCCUACGAGAUGUGAACUCUUUGAGGGCGUCUGGGACCGUCCUUUGUGCUUCUGUAUUCUCAGUGAAGUGUCUGGUGUGUAGUAGAUGCUCAGGAAAUGCUUGCUGAAGUGAAUGGAACUGAGUCCCAGGCAGAGGGAAUAACUCAUGCAAAGGCACAAGGCACGUUCCACCACGGCAGACCGCGAUGUCAGCAAACGUGGGUGUUGGAAUGGGUGGCAUUUAGUUGCAAGGUGGUCGGACAUCCUGGGCUGCUUCACCCCUGCUGUGAAAGCAGAGAAGACUUGAGCUCCCUGAAGAGGAAUUGAG